This 492-nucleotide ribosomal RNA is filed under the name uncultured bacterium. Its description in RNAcentral is "partial 16S ribosomal RNA". It matches the Rfam family "Bacterial small subunit ribosomal RNA", at positions 30 to 507 of the family's 1533-position model. The record is from RNAcentral.
AUUGAACGCUGGCGGCAUGCUUUACACAUGCAAGUCGAACGGUAACAGGCCUUCGGGUGCUGCCGAGUGGCGCACGGGUGUGUAAUGCAUCGGAACGUACCCAGAGUUGGGGGAUAACGCAGCGAAAGCUGUGCUAAUACCGCAUGUGAUCUGAGGAUGAUAGCGGGGGACCGAGCAGCAAUGUUUGGCCUCGCGCCUUUGGAGCGGCCGCUGUCGGAUUAGCUAGUUGGUGGGGUAAAGGCCUACCAAGGCGACGAUCCGUAGCUGGUCUGAGAGGACGAACAGCCACACUGGGACUGAGACACGGCCCAGACUCCUACGGGAGGCAGCAGUGGGGAAUGUUGGACAAUGGGCGCAAGCCUGAUCCAGCAAUGCCGCGUGAGGGAAGAAGGCCUUCGGGUUGUAAAACGCUUUUGGCAGGAACGAAACGGUGUCCGCUAAUACCGGGCGCUAAUGACGGUACCUGCAGAAUGAGCACCGGCUAACUACGUG